RNAcentral lists this long non-coding RNA (2074 nucleotides) under Canis lupus familiaris (dog). RNAcentral's name for it is "lncRNA (ENSCAFG00845027908.1)". Lineage: Eukaryota; Metazoa; Chordata; Mammalia; Carnivora; Canidae. The record is from RNAcentral.
UUUACUCAUGAGAGACACAGAGAGAGGCAGAGACAUAGGCAGAGGGAGAAGCAGGCUCCCUGAGGGAUCACAACCUGAACCAAAGGCAGAUGCUUAACCACAGAGCCACCCAGGCACCCCUGUGUUGCAAUCUUUAAAAUAAUUCAUAUCAGUGUGAGGUUGUAUGUUUUUCCCCCCUCACUCCCUGUACAAAAUUAUUCCUAAACUACUUUUGAGUGUCUGUAUUACUGGCAUCAACAAUGUUGAUACAAUUCUUUAGUUAAAGCUAUUAAGUCUAUUUUGAAGUAUCUGAUUCCAAGGACCUAAACCAAGGAGUGAAAAUGAAAAAUUACAAACAUGUGGCUGAUUAGAAAAAUAGUUAUAAUAGGCCUUACUGCUGUUAUUAUUGAAUGUACAAGUGAAAUAACCAUUAGCCUGUUUUAACCACUGGAAAACACCCUAUGGUGGUACUUGACUGAUUCGAUGCAUUUUUGUACACAAUUGCUGUGCUAAUGGAGCAGACAUUUACCCCAUAACAAAGGAAAUCUCAAAUGUAAGCCUUAGGGUUUAUAGUAAUUCCAGAAUACCAAACCACCGCUAAAGAUUUUAAAUGAAGCCCCUGCUGAUCUAUUUGUUGGUUAAACCCCUUUUGUCUCCUCAAAACAGUAACAUCACUCACAGGACAAAUUAUUGAUAAAUUGCAGAAUUUCAAACAAAGAUAAGCAGAGAAUUAAAAAUCCAUAACAGACGUUAGCUUUAGGAAAUGCACUUAACAGGAUAUGAUUGUAGGUCUACAACCAGUUUUUCCUUCGCGUUUUUCAAGACAUAAAGGUCUGUGCAAGUCUCCUAUCAUCACAGUAUAGUGAAGAGCAGAAUUGGUUCAGCUAUGGAAAAAGUGAGUGGGCCAAGCAGUCUUUUGAUUGCUGAGGAUAAUCUAUAAACACAAGACACUACGUUGACCCUCGAAAUGAUCUCUUCUCACCUCCUCACAAGGGAUGACAAGCCAGCGAUUUCCUUAUAGGGUACAAAACAGCAUUUAGGAAAGGUUCCUAAAGGAAAUCAUUCUUCCAUUCAACCGUGUUGCCAUGGUAACCAAACCAAUCAAGCUUCUUCACAAAGGCUUUUAUGUCAAGUUCUGUUAGCAAACUCAUAGAGAAAGUAUAACUCAACUAAAUUAACACUACAUCUGUUACCUUAUUAGAGAUAGGCGAAAGGCACAAAUCCUUCUCAAAAUUAGAGAAUAUGUACUCCUUCCAUAUCAACAUUUUAAAUUAGUCAAGUUCAGUUUUUUAAAUAAAUAUCACUCUCUUGAAGGCUCUUCUGGAAGAGGGGGGAAGGAAUCUAUCCAGUAGUACUUGCCCUUUCCAAAAAUGAUUUUUCCUCUACCUUCCAAAGAACACAAGACAAUUCUUACAUCUUAUUAAUUCUUUCAUUAUCAUUUCUUUGUAAACUUAUGCUUCAGAUACAUUUGUACUACAGGCAUAGUUUACAUGGAAAAAAUCCUAGCAUUUAUUGCCUAUCAUUACUAAGGCAAGCAGAAUAGAUGGAGAAACAUUAUAGAUCCAUUUUAUUAAUGGGCUUUAGCAGGGCUUGAUGAAGCUAUAGUAUGGAUUACAGGCUUAAUUUUGAAGGCUAUUUUAUGUUAGUGACAUGGUUUGGUGACAGGGUAACUCCAUUUUUAUGGGACACUCCUCGUGUUAGUUUAAUUUAUUUAUUAAAAAUAACUCUGGGAUGCUUGGCUGGCUUAGUCAGUUAAGAGUCUGCUUUCAGCUCAGAGCAUGGUCCUGGGGUCCUGGGAUGGAACUCCCUGCUUCUCCCCCCCGCCCCCAUGCUCUCUUCCUCUUUCUCUCUCUCUUGAAUAAAUGAAUAACAUCUUUUUAGAAAUUUAAAAAACAAAAAUAAAAAUAACUCUGAACAACAAGUUUUAGUAAACUUAGUAAUAGGACACUCAGCUCCAUAUCCAAUGGAUUUUCAAGAAAGUAUCAGUAAAUCACUCAUAUUCCUAUUUUUUAUUUAAUUCAGGAAUACUAAAAGAAGGCUGAUGCCCUCAUCCUGUGUUUUGUUAUAGAAAAUACACCUAAAAUAACUGUCAUAG